This 202-nucleotide ribosomal RNA is filed under the name uncultured bacterium. RNAcentral's name for it is "partial 16S ribosomal RNA". It matches the Rfam family "Bacterial small subunit ribosomal RNA", at positions 332 to 527 of the family's 1533-position model. The record is from RNAcentral.
AUUACUCCUACGGGAGGCAGCAGUCGAGAAUCAUUCACAAUGGGGGCAACCCUGAUGGUGCGACGCCGCGUGGAGGAUAAGGUCUUCGGAUUGUAAACUCCUGUCAUGCGAGAGCAAGGUCUGUGCGGGUAACUCCGCUGGGCUUGAUAGUAUCGCAAGAGGAAGAGACGGCUAACUCUGUGCCAGCAGCCGCGGUAAUAAU